UACGGGGGGGGUAAGCGUUGUUCGGAAUUACUGGGCGUAAAGGGCUCGUAGGCGGCCAACUAAGUCAGACGUGAAAUCCCUCAGCUUAACUGGGGAACUGCGUCUGAUACUGGAUGGCUUGGAUUCGGGAGAGGAAUGCGGAAUUCCUGGUGUAGCGGUGAAAUGCGCAGAUAUCAGGAGGAACACCAGCGGCGAAGGCGGCGCUCUGGGCCGGUACUGACACUGAGGAGCGAAAGCGUGGGUAGCAAACAGG
This 253-nucleotide ribosomal RNA is filed under the name uncultured prokaryote. Its description in RNAcentral is "partial 16S ribosomal RNA". It matches the Rfam family "Bacterial small subunit ribosomal RNA", at positions 524 to 776 of the family's 1533-position model. The record is from RNAcentral.